UGAUCCCCUGGCUCAGAACGAACGCUGGCGGCAGGCUUAACACAUGCAAGUCGAGCGCCCCGCAAGGGGAGCGGCAGACGGGUGAGUAACGCGUGGGAACGUACCUUUUGCUACGGAAUAACUCAGGGAAACUUGUGCUAAUACCGUAUGUGCCCUUCGGGGGAAAGAUUUAUCGGCAAAGGAUCGGCCCGCGUUGGAUUAGCUAGUUGGUGAGGUAAAGGCUCACCAAGGCGACGAUCCAUAGCUGGUCUGAGAGGAUGAUCAGCCACA
Molecule: ribosomal RNA, 270 nt
Filed under: Brucella anthropi
Lineage: Bacteria; Pseudomonadati; Pseudomonadota; Alphaproteobacteria; Hyphomicrobiales; Brucellaceae
Description: Ochrobactrum anthropi partial 16S rRNA
Rfam family: Bacterial small subunit ribosomal RNA
Source: RNAcentral